GUCCUCACCAACAACAGCACAGCCUCCCAUAGACAAACCAGAUGGCUGGAUCAGUUGACCAUUGCCGAACAUAUCCUUCUUCACCUCCACAUGAACCCGGUCCUCACUGCAUUGAACAGCCACACUACUGGGAGUCACAGGUUUCCUCAACUGGAAGUUCACCGCCAACUCACGUUGCACCUCUGGAACGACGGGAAACUUCCAGGACAAAGGCUUGACUGGACCCUGCAACAGCUGCUUCUCCUGAAGACCAAGAGGCUCUUGCGCAAAUCCUCCGUAGCCAAGACUCUGGAACUGAGAAGCCUUUUGGAAAGGAUUCAAGAACCCUUGAGAA
Carassius gibelio (silver crucian carp) is the source of this 334-nucleotide long non-coding RNA. RefSeq lists it as uncharacterized. The record is from RefSeq and is a predicted model, not a curated record. NCBI's taxonomy places the organism in Eukaryota, Metazoa, Chordata, Actinopteri, Cypriniformes, Cyprinidae. The transcript is spliced from 2 exons.